This 383-nucleotide ribosomal RNA is filed under the name uncultured eukaryote. RNAcentral's name for it is "partial 18S ribosomal RNA". It matches the Rfam family "Eukaryotic small subunit ribosomal RNA", at positions 592 to 976 of the family's 1831-position model. The record is from RNAcentral.
CAAUAGCGUAUAUUAAAGUUGUUGCAGUUAAAAAGCUCGUAGUUGGAUUUCUGGUGGGAGCGAUCGGUCUGGCGCUUAGCGCGAGUACUUACAUCGUCUCCGGCCAUCCUUGGGGAGAGUCUGUCUGGCAUUAAGUUGUCGGGCAGAGGAUCCUCAUCGUUUACUGUGAAAAAAUUAGAGUGUUCAAAGCAGGCUUAUGCCGUUGAAUAUAUUAGCAUGGAAUAAUAAGAUAGGACUUUGGUACUAUUUUGUUGGUUUGCGCACCAAAGUAAUGAUUAAUAGGGACAGUUGGGGGUAUUCGUAUUCCGUUGUCAGAGGUGAAAUUCUUGGAUUUACGGAAGACGAACUACUGCGAAAGCAUUUACCAAGGAUGUUUUCAUUAA